Molecule: long non-coding RNA, 2859 nt
Organism: Marmota monax (woodchuck)
Lineage: Eukaryota; Metazoa; Chordata; Mammalia; Rodentia; Sciuridae
Exons: 3
Source: RefSeq, a predicted model, not a curated record
ACUAAGUUGCCCAGGCUGGCCUCAAACUUACGAUGCUCCUGCCUUGGCCUCCCGAACCGCUGGAAUGGAAUUACAGGCGUGCACCACUGCCAUGGCCAGGACAGUUGUUUUCAAUAUCUGAAAGGCUGUGUUGUAGAGUUGGGAUCAAACUAUUUGGCUCUACCCCAGUGAGUGGGAUUGGGACCUUUGAUGGAAGCAUCUGGAAGGUGCUGAGGAUCGAACCCAGGGUCUCACAUGUGCGAGGCGAGUGCUCUGCCGCUGAGCCACAACCCCAGCCCCUCACCCAACUUUUUGAUUCUCGGAUUCUGUGUGUGUUGUGAGUUCCAUUCUGCACCAUGGAAGACCAGGACACCAAGACCUGCAGCGAGUUUCACGUGCCACACAGCUCACUCUCUCUGAGCCUCAGAGCUACCUGCUUUCCUUUAUUUUUCAAGUCUUCUGUUCCUUUCAGGAAGGAAAAAAAAAGAACAACAACAAUAAAACCCAAAUUGUGUCUGCCACGCCACCCAGACCCAGUUAGCAUGUUUGGACAGGAUAUGCAGUUACCCAAUAUUGUCUGAAAGAUGUGUUUUCCUGACUCUGGACAAAUUGGAGCAGACUUUCCCUUUGAUGUGCAAUCUUCUGUCGCAACACACCACUAAACCAGUCAGGGUCACUCCAGGUGAACUGGGCUGGCACGAAAUCAUCACAUAGAGACAGAGGAAGACCUUUUUCUUUGGGUUCUGUGACAGCUCUGCUGACCGAGCGGCCACAAAGGAGGCAAGAGAGAGAGAGAGAGAGAGAGAGCAGGCCUUGAACCCGGGCUUUUAUUGGCUGUUCCAUGGAAUAUUCUAUCCCCCAAAGGGCAAAGGGGUAGGAUUACAAAGGAACAGGGAAGUGUUUGACAGGGCACCUUCUGUUUGCCUCCUGGUGCUGACACGUUUGGAUCAUGUCAGUGGCUCACUGGCCUCUGGCGUCCGGUUGGGUUAGGCCGAUGGACAGCUUCAUCAGGAAGGCAAAAGGAGGAAGGAUGACUGACACUGACCAGAGAUUAACCUAACAAAAGAGGUGAAGAAUGUGUACAAUGACAACUACAAAACACUAAAGAAAGAAAUUAAAGAAGACCUAAGAAGAUGGAAAGACCUCCCAUGUUCUUAGAUAGGUAGAAUUAAUAUUGUCAAAAUGGCCAUACUUCCAAAAGCACUAUACGAAUUCAAUGCAAUUCCCAUCAAAAUUUCAAUGUAGAAAUUGCAUUUCUCUAAUUCCAAUUAGAGAAAUGCAAAAAGAAAUAGAGAAAGCUGUCAUGAAAUUCAUUUGAGAAAAUGACAGGCCCAGAAUAGUCAAAUAAUCCUUAGAGGAAAAACAAAAAAAGAAGCUGUAGGUAUCACAAUACCAGACCUUAAAUUAUACUGCCGCAGUCAGGCUGCAGCAAAAUAACCGGGGGUGACGAACAACUUGUGUACAUUGAUACAGCAGGAGUGGGAGCCGUUUAUUGUAGGACAGGAGGGGUAUAUAUACAUUCCACACAGCUUAUCUAAUUAACAUAAACUAGAUACAGGAGUCAACCAAUAAGGAAUCUCCACACUUAAUGGCUCGCUGGAGUUACUUCACAAACCACUCCCUCUCGCAAAAUGCCAGGCGCCAUCUUGACUCGUUUACAGACUCUAACAUUAUACUACAGAGCUAUAGUAACAAAGGCGGCAUUGUAUUGGCAUGAAAAUAGACUUGUAGACCAAUGGUACAGAACAGAGGACACAGAGACAAACCCACAUAAAUACGGUAAUCUCAUAUUAGACAAAGGACCAAAACUUUACACUGGAGAAAAGAUAGCUUCUUCAACAAGGUGCUGGGAAAAAAUGGAAAUCCAUAUGUAAUAGAAUGAAAGUUAACCCCUAUCUCUCACCUUGCACAAAAAUCAAUGUGAAGUGGAUCAAAGACCUAGAAAUUAGACCAGAAAUCCUGCACAUACUAGAAGAAAAUGUACACUCAACACUUCAACAUAGUGGAUCAGGAACUGACUUCCUUAACAAGACUUCUAAGGAGCAAGAAAUAAAAUCAAGAAUCAAUAAAUGGGGUGCAUUUAACUAAACAGCUUCUUCACAGCAAAGGAAACAAUCAAGAGUGUGAAGAGAGAGCCCAAAGAAUGGGAGAAAAAUUUUUGUCACCUGUACCUUAGGUGGGGCAUUAAUUUCCAGGAUAUACAAAGAAUUCAAGAAACUCAACACCAAAAAACCUCCAAUAACCCAAUCAAUAAGUGGACGAAGGAUCUGAAUAGACCCUUCUAAAAAGGAAAAAAAUAUGAAUCGAUAACAAAUAUAUGAAAACAUGUUCAACAUCUCUAGCAAUUAGAGAAAUGCAAAAUAAAACUACACUGAGAUUUCAUCUCGUUCUAGUCAGAAUGGUAACUACCAAUACAAGCAACAAUAAAUAUUGGCAAGGAAGUGGAGGGAAAAGGUAUGAUCAUACAUUGUUGGUGGGACUGCAGAUUGGUGCAAUCACUCUGGAAAGCAAUAUGGAGAGCCCUCAAAAAACUCAGAAUGGAGCCAUCAAUUUGAUCCAGUUAUCCCACUCUUCAGCAUGUAGCCAAAGAAUUUAAAAAUCAGCACACUAUAGUGAUGCAGCCACAUCAAUGUUUAUAGCAGCACAAUUCACAAUAGCUAAGCUAUGGAGGCAACCUAGGUGCCCUUCAACAGACGAAUGGAUAAAGAUAAUGCAGUACAUAUACACAGUGGAAUAUUACCCAGCCAUAAAGAAGAACGACUUUAUGGCAUUUGCCAGUAAAUGAAUGGAACAUGCUAAAUAAAUAAGCCAAUCCCAAAUAAUCAAAGGUUGAAUGUUUUUGUUGAUAUGUGGAAGCUACAAUAAAGGAAAGAAGGAGAA